GAUGAACGCUGGCGGCGUGCCUAAUACAUGCAAGUCGAGCGAACAGACGAGGAGCUUGCUCCUCUGACGUUAGCGGCGGACGGGUGAGUAACACGUGGAUAACCUACCUAUAGAAUGGGGAAAAUUCGGGAAACCGGAGCCAAAACCGGGAAAAAUUUUUAAACCGAAGGGUCAAUUGGUAAAAGCGGGUUUGCUGGCACCUAAUGGAGGAUCCCGCGCCGCAUUGGCUAGUUGGUAAGGUAACGGCUUACCAAGGCAACGAGGCGUAGCCGACCUGAGAGGGUGAUCGGCCACACUGGAACUGAGACACGGUCCAGACUCCUACGGGAGGCAGCAGUAGGGAAUCUUCCGCAAUGGGCGAAAGCCUGACGGAGCAACGCCGCGUGAGUGAUGAAGGUCUUCGGAUCGUAAAACUCUGUUAUUAGGGAAGAACAAAUGUGUAAGUAACUAUGCACGUCUUGACGGUACCUAAUCAGAAAGCCACGGCUAACUACGUG
Molecule: ribosomal RNA, 497 nt
Filed under: uncultured bacterium
Lineage: Bacteria
Description: partial 16S ribosomal RNA
Rfam family: Bacterial small subunit ribosomal RNA
Source: RNAcentral